RNAcentral lists this ribosomal RNA (1100 nucleotides) under uncultured organism. RNAcentral describes it as "bacterial SSU rRNA". It matches the Rfam family "Bacterial small subunit ribosomal RNA", at positions 154 to 1287 of the family's 1533-position model. The record is from RNAcentral.
AAACAGCGGCUAAUACCUGAUAUGCUCACAGGAUCGGGAGGUCGAGUGAGGAAAGGCUUCGGUGCUUGAGGAGGGAUCUGCGGCCCAUCAGCUAGUUGGUGAGGUAACGGCUCACCAAGGCGAAGACGGGUAGGGGGUGUGAGAGCAUGGCCCCCCACAAUGGGACUGAGACACGGCCCAUACUCCUACGGGAGGCAGCAGCGGGGAAUAUUGCGCAAUGGACGGAAGUCAGACGCAGCGACGCCGCGUGGGUGAGGAAGGCCUUCGGGUUGUAAAGCCCUUUUCAGGGGAGCGAGAACGGACGGUACCCUUGGAAUAAGCGUCGGCUAACUACGUGCCAGCAGCCGCGGUAAGACGUAGGACGCAAGCGUUAUCCGGAUUUACUGGGCGUAAAGCGCCUGUAGGCGGUCAAGUAAGUCGGAUGUGAAAGCCCCGUGCUCAACGCGGGGAAGCCAUUCGAUACUGCGUGACUAGAGAACGGCAGAGGGAAACGGAAUUUCUGGUGUAGCGGUAAAAUGCGCAGAGAUCAGAAAGAACACCGAUGGCGAAGGCAGUUUCCUAGGCCGCAUCUGACGCUGAGAGGCGAAAGCUAGGGGAGCGAACAGGAUUAGAGACCCUGGUAGUCCUAGCUGUAAACGAUGGAUGCUAGGUGUGGGCCGGAAAGGUCCGUGCCGUAGUUAACGCGAUAAGCAUCCCGCCUGGGGAGUACGGCCGCAAGGCUAAAACUCAAACGAAUUGACGGGGACCCGCACAAGCAGCGGAGCGUGUGGUUUAAUUCGAUGCUACACGCAGAACCUUACCUGGGCUUGACAUGUAGGUGGUAGUGAAGUGAAAGCGGAGCGACCCUUCGGGGAGCCUACACAGGUGCUGCAUGGCUGUCGUCAGCUCGUGCCGUGAGGUGUCGGGUUAAGUCCCGUAACGAGCGCAACCCUUGUCCUUAGUUACAAGUGUCUAAGGAGACUGCCGGUGACAAACCGGAGGAAGGUGGGGAUGACGUCAAGUCAGCAUGGCCCUUAUGUCCAGGGCGACACACACGCUACAAUGGUCGGUACAAUGGGCAGCGCAGCCGCGAGGUGAAGCGAAUCCCAACAAAGCCGAUC